UCAUGCUGGCUGUGAAUUCCAGUGUUUCAGAUUCCACAGGCUACUCAUCGGCAUUUUUGACACUGGGCCGCGAACCCUGUACGCUAGGUACGGGAAGGCAACUAGCGUCAGGCCAAGGCGAGAGUCAACGAAGGCAGGCCACGAGCGAACCAGAGCACCAAUGAACAUUCCCGACGGAAGCGGGACAGAGGGGAAGAAUGGAAUAGAAGGAUGGGCCCAGCUGGGUCAACAGCCCACCACUGGAAAGGGGGACUCGAUCCGACUCUGAAGAAAAAAAAACCCACGAAGGAAGAAACAGACUACGGGUCCAGGACUGAAAGACAAAGAGGCUAUGCAACCGGGCAAUAAGCUCGUUGAAUGUCCCGAAGAAAGAGGAGAGACGGUACGAGAGUCAAGGAAACAGUACCGUAAGAACGAGCGUCUGGAGUCUGAAGUGUCGCUUGUCACAGUUUUGGGAUAGUCCGAAAGUAGCAUUAUCUUGUUAGGAACUUGCUUUAAGUAGGGCCACCUACCCAUUAACCUAUAUCUACCAAUGCAGUCUGGGUUCUAUCGAAAUUGCAAGCUUACACUGUAAUAAAUAAAAAACGCAACCUGGGCAUACUAGUGAACGCCAUGCCGGUCGUUCUCUUUCCGUUUUAACCUUGGAGGUGAUCAGACGUACAAGUGCGACCAACCAAAAACACACCCACGUUUUCUUGCAAAUUUUUUUUGUAUUUCGAUAUUCUAUAUCACUAAAUCGGUGAGUUAGUUUUUCUAAAGUGAACUUCGCUUUAGCUAAUUAUUUUCGUCUAUAGUACACAAGCCCAGCUUAGUAUCCCACCAGCUGUAUUUAAAUUUGGGGUUAUUUCGGUGCCAGAUCAAAGGUUCUGGCACCUUGUGCUACCCACAAGCAACCGCCGGCUCCAAGCCGUACCACCAGAGCAGCACGGCCAGCAGAGUAGCCGAUGCACAUCGAUCAUCAGAACAUCUCUUUUGGCCGAAGCCAUCGGAUGACCUAUAUUCAAGUGUUAUUAGUGUGAAUUAAUCUACCCCCCGCAAAAGUUCAGUGAAAAAAACAAAUCCUGUAGCGAAAAAAAAAGGGGGAAAUCAAAAACCCUUCACAUUAAGCGGUUCAAUUUUUUUUUGGUUAUACCACGAGGUGGCUACACUGUGACAAACUAAUGGUUUUACCGCACGCAUUACAAAACAUGUGCUAAUACACUAAUAAAACAAUUAGACACCAACGAUCGCCAAAACAAAAAGAAUGAAUUCAAUUUAAAACGUUAC
Molecule: long non-coding RNA, 1266 nt
Organism: Drosophila yakuba
Lineage: Eukaryota; Metazoa; Arthropoda; Insecta; Diptera; Drosophilidae
Exons: 2
Source: RefSeq, a predicted model, not a curated record